UCUAAGGCCAUACCACCCUGAACGCGCCCGAUCUCGUCUGAUCUCGAAAGCUAAGCAGGGUCGGGCCUGGUUAGUACUUGGAUGGGAGAAUCAUUUUACAUAUACAAUAAUAACGGCCUUUAUUAGAA
This 128-nucleotide ribosomal RNA is filed under the name Mustela putorius furo (domestic ferret). The record is from RNAcentral. Lineage: Eukaryota; Metazoa; Chordata; Mammalia; Carnivora; Mustelidae.